Molecule: long non-coding RNA, 783 nt
Filed under: Elaeis guineensis (African oil palm)
Lineage: Eukaryota; Viridiplantae; Streptophyta; Magnoliopsida; Arecales; Arecaceae
Description: long non-coding RNA (EGUI_LNC008079)
Source: RNAcentral
GGGGACAUACGGAGGCCUCGACGUUAGGAUCUCAACAAUGCCGUUAGUCUCGUGGUGAUGCUUCGACCAUCGAGAAGGGUGGCCUCGAUGUCUAGAGGACUUUAGGCCUCUAAUCCGACGGCCUCGGAGGCCUCAGAAUCAUCGAUUUGGCAGGGCGUGUGCAAAGGGCUGUCGAUCCUAACUUCGAUGCCGACGGAAGUGCACGAGGAAGAUCUCGUGAGGCCUCAGGCUAGCCAACCUUGGCAUUAGGAUCUUAACAACGCCGUUAGUCUCGUGGUGAUGUUUUGGCCAUCGGGAAGGGUGGCCUCGAUGUCUAGAGGGCCUUGGGCCGCUAAUCCGAUGGGCCCGGAGGCCUCAGAAUCGUCGAUUUGGCAGGGCGUGUGCAAAGGGCCACCGAUCCUAGCUUCCAUGCCGGCGGAAGUGCAUGAGGGAGAUCCCGUGAGGCCCCGGGCUAGCCAAUCUUGGGUUUGACACCGGUAGUCAAGCGAGUGAGCACGGAAGGGGACCGGGACCGCCCAUCCUUGCUCCGGCGAUGGUUGCCGUGCGCGUAAGCUUAGGGGAGGCCCGAGGUCGCAGACGCUGGUCCCGCAGUGGUUGGUACCGCGUGGGGAAGCUUGAGGAAGGUUUCAGAGCCUUCGUUACCAGAUUCGACCACACAUGGAGGUGUCGACCGAAGGGGGUUCGGCCGGAAAGGCUCUCACGAAAGGGGUUCGGUCGAAGUGAGACGCAUGGAGAUGCAGGCCGAAAGGGGGUUCGGUCAAAGGUCUCUGGAGAGAGGAGGGA